UAGCCGUAAACGAUACUCGCUAGGUGUCGGCCACGGUGCGACCGUUGUCGGUGCCGUAGGGAAGCCGUGAAGCGAGCCACCUGGGAAGUACGGCCGCAAGGCUGAAACCUAAAGGAAUUGGCGGGGGAGCACCACAACGGGUGGAGCUUGCGGUUUAAUUGGAUUCAACGCCGGAAAUCUUACCGGGACCGACAGCAACAUGAAGGCCAGACUGAAGACUUUGCCGGAUUAGCUGAGAGGUGGUGCAUGGCGUAGUCGUGU
This 261-nucleotide ribosomal RNA is filed under the name uncultured archaeon. RNAcentral describes it as "partial 16S ribosomal RNA". It matches the Rfam family "Archaeal small subunit ribosomal RNA", at positions 748 to 1009 of the family's 1478-position model. The record is from RNAcentral.